RNAcentral lists this ribosomal RNA (303 nucleotides) under uncultured bacterium. RNAcentral describes it as "partial 16S ribosomal RNA". It matches the Rfam family "Bacterial small subunit ribosomal RNA", at positions 507 to 808 of the family's 1533-position model. The record is from RNAcentral.
AGCAGCCGCCGCGGGAAUACGUAGGUGGCAAGCGUUGUCCGGAAUUAUUGGGCGUAAAGGGCUCGCAGGCGGUUUCUUAAGUCUGAUGUGAAAGCCCCCGGCUCAACCGGGGAGGGUCAUUGGAAACUGGGAAACUUGAGUGCAGAAGAGGAGAGUGGAAUUCCACGUGUAGCGGUGAAAUGCGUAGAGAUGUGGAGGAACACCAGUGGCGAAGGCGACUCUCUGGUCUGUAACUGACGCUGAGGAGCGAAAGCGUGGGAGCGAACAGGAUUAGAUACCCCCGUAGUCCCUGUCUCUUAUACC